Molecule: unclassified non-coding RNA, 117 nt
Organism: Macaca fascicularis (crab-eating macaque)
Lineage: Eukaryota; Metazoa; Chordata; Mammalia; Primates; Cercopithecidae
Rfam family: Metazoan signal recognition particle RNA
About the family: The signal recognition particle (SRP) is a universally conserved ribonucleoprotein. It is involved in the co-translational targeting of proteins to membranes.
Source: Ensembl
GCUGGGUGUGGUGACUCACGCCUGUAAUCCCAGCACUUGGGGAGGCUGAGGCAGGCGGUUUACCUGAGGCCAGGAGUUUGAGACCACCCUGGCCAACAUGGUGAAACCCUGUCUCUA